UUUUAGAAAUUAAUUUAAAGUCUAACCUGCCCACUGAAUUUUUUUUAAAUGGCCGCAGUAUCCUAACUGUGCAAAGGUAGCAUAAUCAUUAGUCUUUUAAUUGAAGGCUGGAAUGAAUGGUUGAAUGAAAUAUUAACUGUUUCAUAUAAAUUUAUAAUAAAACUUUAUUUUUUAGUCAAAAAGCUAAAAUAUAAUUAAAAGACGAGAAGACCCUAUAAAUCUUUAUAUUUUAAAAAUUUUAAUUAUAUAGAUUAAUUUAAUUAUUAUUAUUUAAAAUAUUUUAUUGGGGUGAUAUUAAAAUUUAAUAAACUUUUAAUUUAUUUUAAACAUAAAUUAAUGAAUUAUUGAUCCAUUUAUUAUGAUUAAAAAAUUAAGUUACUUUAGGGAUAACAGCGUAAUUUUUUUAGAGAGUUCAUAUUGAUAAAAA
RNAcentral lists this ribosomal RNA (427 nucleotides) under Megaselia sp. MEG-225. Its description in RNAcentral is "partial 16S ribosomal RNA". The record is from RNAcentral. Lineage: Eukaryota; Metazoa; Arthropoda; Insecta; Diptera; Phoridae.